AUCUAGCUGACGAGUUCUAAAUAGGACAAAGUGCGUGUCCUGGAU
Molecule: non-coding RNA, 45 nt
Filed under: Schistosoma curassoni
Lineage: Eukaryota; Metazoa; Platyhelminthes; Trematoda; Strigeidida; Schistosomatidae
Source: RNAcentral